Scleropages formosus (Asian bonytongue) is the source of this 289-nucleotide long non-coding RNA. RefSeq lists it as uncharacterized. The transcript is spliced from 4 exons. Lineage: Eukaryota; Metazoa; Chordata; Actinopteri; Osteoglossiformes; Osteoglossidae. The record is from RefSeq and is a predicted model, not a curated record.
GCUCGAGCUCUGCUGGACCCGGGAACGUCGGCGCCGAGGGACGAGGUACCUUCGGUUGGACCGACAUGGAGACGGUGCCUGCACAUCUCAGCUCUGUGAUGAAACACCCUGCAGAAGCUCGAUUCACGAAAGCUGAAGGGUCAAGAGAUGGACUUGAUUCACUGGAGAAAAGAAGGGGAUGGAAGAGAGGACAUGAUGUGCAGCUGGAUGAAGAUGACCUGCUUGACACUGAUGAGGUCUACUGGGGCUCUGAGGGUCGCAGGGAACCGGAGCCUAACCCAGCAACGCA